RNAcentral lists this ribosomal RNA (1084 nucleotides) under metagenome. Its description in RNAcentral is "bacterial SSU rRNA". It matches the Rfam family "Bacterial small subunit ribosomal RNA", at positions 51 to 1192 of the family's 1533-position model. The record is from RNAcentral.
AGGCAUGCAAGUCGAAUGGGUUUAGACCCAUGGCAAACGGGUUAGGAACACGUAGGAAUCUGCCCCCGAGUCGCGGAUAACCCGGAGAAAUCCGGGAUAAUACGCGAUGUACUCUACGGAGUAAAGAUUUAUCGCUCGGGGAGGAGCCUGCGUCCUAUCAGCUUGUUGGCGGGGUAAUGGCCCACCAAGGCUAUGACGGGUAGGGGGUGUGAGAGCAUGACCCCCAACAUUGGCACUGAGACACUGGCCAAACACCUACGGGUGGCUGCAGUCGAGAAUAUUCCACAAUGGACGAAAGUCUGAUGGAGCGACGCCGCGUGCAGGAAGACGGCCCUCGGGUUGUAAACUGCUUUUCUCAGGGAAGAAUUACGAUGACUGUACCUGAGGAAUAAGAGGUUACUAACUCUGUGCCAGCAGUAGCGGUAAUACAGAGACCUCAAGCGUUAUCCGGAUUUAUUGGGCGUAAAGCGCAGGUAGGCGGAUAUGUUAGUCGGAUGUCAAAUAUCCCGGCUCAACCGGGAAAAGGCAUUCGAAACGGCAUGUCUAGAGAUAGCGAGAGAUCGGUGGAAUUCACGGUGUAGUAGUGAAAUGCGUUGAUAUCGUGAGGAACACCCAAGGCGAAGGCAGCCGAUUGGCGCUGUUCUGACGCUGAGCUGCGAAAGCGUGGGGAGCGAAUGGGAUUAGAUACCCCAGUAGUCCACGCUGUAAACGAUGCAUACUAGGUGCGGGGAGAAUCGACCCUUUCCGUGCCGGAGCUAACGCGUUAAGUAUGCCGCCUGGGAAGUACGAGCGCAAGCUUAAAACUCAAAGGAAUAGACGGGGAUCCGCACAAGUGGUGGAGCAUGUGGUUUAAUUCGACGGUAAGCGAGGCACCUCACCAGGGUUUGAAAUUCAGCUGCAGGGCCCAGAAAUGGGACGUUCUUCGAGAGUGCUGAACCAGGUGCUGCAUGGUUGUCGUCAGCUCGUGCCGUAAGGUGUUCCGUUCAGUCGGGAAACGAGCGCAACCCCCGUGAAAUGUUACAAUGUGUCAUUUCAGACUGCCCACCCCUAAGCGUGUGAAACACGCUUGACUUACAACAAACAA